GGCCGCCAGGAGCCGCGGGCGCGCGGCCCCCUCCAGCGCCAGCCACGUUGACACCCCCCCGCGGUCUGCCAGCUCUGGGGACGAGGCGUCGCUCAGCUUCUCCACGGGCUCUUUCUCCCGGGGCCACAGGAAAUAAUGGAACUGUAAUCUAACUAGAGCCACAUGCUGAAGAAGUAUCCUAG
RNAcentral lists this long non-coding RNA (182 nucleotides) under Crocodylus porosus (Australian saltwater crocodile). RNAcentral's name for it is "lncRNA (ENSCPRG00005007466.1)". Lineage: Eukaryota; Metazoa; Chordata; Crocodylia; Crocodylidae. The record is from RNAcentral.